GGGACACGUGGUAUCCUGUCUGAAUAUGGGGGGACCAUCCUCCAAGGCUAAAUACUCCUGACUGACCGAUAGUGAACCAGUACCGUGAGGGAAAGGCGAAAAGAACCCCGGCGAGGGGAGUGAAAAAGAACCUGAAACCGUGUACGUACAAGCAGUGGGAGCCUCUUAAUGGGGUGACUGCGUACCUUUUGUAUAAUGGGUCAGCGACUUAUAUUCUGUAGCAAGGUUAACCGAAUAGGGGAGCCGAAGGGAAACCGAGUCUUAACUGGGCGUUAAGUUGCAGGGUAUAGACCCGAAACCCGGUGAUCUAGCCAUGGGCAGGUUGAAGGUUGGGUAACACUAACUGGAGGACCGAACCGACUAAUGUUGAAAAAUUAGCGGAUGACUUGUGGCUGGGGGUGAAAGGCCAAUCAAACCGGGAGAUAGCUGGUUCUCCCCGAAAGCUAUUUAGGUAGCGCCUCGUGAAUUCAUCUCCGGGGGUAGAGCACUGUUUCGGCAAGGGGGUCAUCCCGACUUACCAACCCGAUGCAAACUGCGAAUACCGGAGAAUGUUAUCACGGGAGACACACGGCGGGUGCUAACGUCCGUCGUGAAGAGGGAAACAACCCAGACCGCCAGCUAAGGUCCCAAAGUCAUGGUUAAGUGGGAAACGAUGUGGGAAGGCCCAGACAGCCAGGAUGUUGGCUUAGAAGCAGCCAUCAUUUAAAGAAAGCGUAAUAGCUCACUGGUCGAGUCGGCCUGCGCGGAAGAUGUAACGGGGCUAAACCAUGCACCGAAGCUGCGGCAGCGACACUAUGUGUUGUUGGGUAGGGGAGCGUUCUGUAAGCCUGUGAAGGUGUACUGUGAGGUAUGCUGGAGGUAUCAGAAGUGCGAAUGCUGACAUAAGUAACGAUAAAGCGGGUGAAAAGCCCGCUCGCCGGAAGACCAAGGGUUCCUGUCCAACGUUAAUCGGGGCAGGGUGAGUCGACCCCUAAGGCGAGGCCGAAAGGCGUAGUCGAUGGGAAACAGGUUAAUAUUCCUGUACUUGGUGUUACUGCGAAGGGGGGACGGAGAAGGCUAUGUUGGCCGGGCGACGGUUGUCCCGGUUUAAGCGUGUAGGCUGGUUUUCCAGGCAAAUCCGGAAAAUCAAGGCUGAGGCGUGAUGACGAGGCACUACGGUGCUGAAGCGACAAAUGCCCUGCUUCCAGGAAAAGCCUCUAAGCAUCAGGUAACAUCAAAUCGUACCCCAAACCGACACAGGUGGUCAGGUAGAGAAUACCAAGGCGCUUGAGAGAACUCGGGUGAAGGAACUAGGCAAAAUGGUGCCGUAACUUCGGGAGAAGGCACGCUGAUAUGUAGGUGAAGCGACUUGCUCGUGGAGCUGAAAUCAGUCGAAGAUACCAGCUGGCUGCAACUGUUUAUUAAAAACACAGCACUGUGCAAACACGAAAGUGGACGUAUACGGUGUGACGCCUGCCCGGUGCCGGAAGGUUAAUUGAUGGGGUUAGCGGUAACGCGA
Molecule: ribosomal RNA, 1498 nt
Filed under: Escherichia coli
Lineage: Bacteria; Pseudomonadati; Pseudomonadota; Gammaproteobacteria; Enterobacterales; Enterobacteriaceae
Description: partial 23S ribosomal RNA
Rfam family: Bacterial large subunit ribosomal RNA
Source: RNAcentral